This 372-nucleotide ribosomal RNA is filed under the name uncultured organism. Its description in RNAcentral is "partial 16S ribosomal RNA". It matches the Rfam family "Bacterial small subunit ribosomal RNA", at positions 527 to 896 of the family's 1533-position model. The record is from RNAcentral.
GUAGGUGGCAAGCGUUGUCCGGAAUUAUUGGGCGUAAAGCGCGCGCAGGCGGUUCUUUAAGUCUGAUGUGAAAGCCAACGGCUCAACCGUGGAGGGUCAUUGGAAACUGGAGAACUUGAGUACAGAAGAGGAAAGCGGAAUUCCACGUGUAGCGGUGAAAUGCGUAGAGAUGUGGAGGAACACCAGUGGCGAAGGCGGCUUUCUGAUCUGUAACUGACGCUGAGGCGCGAAAGCGUGGGGAGCAAACAGGAUUAGAUACCCUGGUAGUCCACGCCGUAAACGAUGAGUGCUAAGUGUUAGGGGGUUUCCGCCCCCCUUAGUGCUGCAGCUAACGCAUUAAGCACUCCGCCUGGGAGUACGGCCGCAAGGCUG